Molecule: ribosomal RNA, 492 nt
Filed under: uncultured bacterium
Lineage: Bacteria
Description: partial 16S ribosomal RNA
Rfam family: Bacterial small subunit ribosomal RNA
Source: RNAcentral
AGUGAACGCUGGCGGUAGGCCUAACACAUGCAAGUCGAACGGCAGCACAGUAAGAGCUUGCUCUUACGGGUGGCGAGUGGCGGACGGGUGAGGAAUACAUCGGAAUCUACUUUUUCGUGGGGGAUAACGUAGGGAAACUUACGCUAAUACCGCAUACGACCUACGGGUGAAAGCAGGGGAUCUUCGGACCUUGCGCGAUUGAAUGAGCCGAUAUCGGAUUAGCUAGUUGGCGGGGUAAAGGCCCACCAAGGCGACGAUCCGUAGCUGGUCUGAGAGGAUGAUCAGCCACACUGGAACUGAGACACGGUCCAGACUCCUACGGGAGGCAGCAGUGGGGAAUAUUGGACAAUGGGCGCAAGCCUGAUCCAGCCAUACCGCGUGGGUGAAGAAGGCCUUCGGGUUGUAAAGCCCUUUUGUUGGGAAAGAAAAGCAGCAGGUUAAUACCCCGCCGUUCUGACGGUACCCAAAGAAUAAGCACCGGCUAACUUCGUG